GUUUUUAAUUUGUCUUUUGUCCCAGUUUUUCUUGUGUAAGCGUGACUGCAAUGUUCUCUCCAGCUUUUACAUUUGCAAAAUGAAACCAGAAGUAUCUACUGCUUUUUUGAGAAUUGUUAUACUUCCAAGCGAUGAUUUUGGGGCAACAAAGAGGAAAUUCUGUCCCCCCUCUCCUGUCCUCUUUUCACAUCCUCUUUAACACAAAGAUUUUUGUUAUGUCUUUGUUGUGCUGGUUGUCAAGUGCAUCCCACUGCCUUCUCCAUGAAGAUCCUGGCACACACCAAAAGGAGCCUUCCUCCCUGGUAGCACGAAGGUCCCCACUGCACAGCUGUGAGAGUGAGGGGAGGUGUUGGCUGUUUCUUCGACACCCUCAAGGGAGUGCAGAUGAAGCAUUCACACUUCAGGCUCUUACAGAUGGGAGGUAACAGCCCUCAGUGGCUCUGUUGUCCCCAAGCUCCUCCUUGCAUACACACUUUGUCAUUCUGGGCAGUGCGUGUGCGUGUACACCUAAACACACCCAUCUCUUCACACAUUGCAAUUUCAGAGUGAUCAUCUCAUAUUCCCUGGGCAAAGCAGGGAGUAAAAACGAACCUGCUCAGCUUUUAUAUUUUUUAAAUAGAAAACCAUCUUGAUUAAUUUCUUCUAACUACAAAAGUAAUAUAGAGUUACUGCCAAAAAAUUCAAGGGAAACAAGAGUGUUGUAAAAAUCAGUGCUUUUUUUCCUCUGCGACCCCUCAUCAGAGCACCACUGUUUGCAUUUUGGUGUACAUUCUUCAAGUUUUGUUCUCUUUAUAUGCAAAGGAAUAGACACCUUAAGUUUUGAAAAAUCAGAUGACAGAUUAACAUAAUUGACUAGUAAUUUCGACGCACUGGAUGCGUGGCGACUCCUUUCUUUUCUUUUGGCAGCUCGAGGCUUUGCUGCUAUGAUGGCAGAAGCAAGAAACUGGAAACCAAAAAGGAGCUGCAACAGCUUUCUUAAAGACUGAGCGUGUGCAGGAAGGCAAGAGCUACAUGAAUGUGACUUGAGAAAUGUGUGUCAUUAGUGGCAUGGGUGCUUUCAUGGCAAACCCUCUAGGGAGAAGUUAGGAUCAGGGCCAGCCUGGAGCCUGAAGGGACAGGCAUAGUUGCUGAAGAGUACCUCUUCACUCCCCCCCCCGCCAAGGUUCUUUCUUCACUGCCCCGGGGAGCCCUUGGUCUCUGCACAGCCCUGCCAGCACAUCCCACAAGGAGAACUGUUCCUCUUUCCACCUGCCUCAUUGCUGAAAGGUCACUUAGCUUGUGUUUUCCUCCUUGUGAUUCUGGCUCCCCUGGUGGUAGGAGUGAUUGACCUCUGCUUUGAUCUCUAACUAUGGGGGACUCCUUGGGGAAGACUCAGGUCAGUAGCAAUAUGUCUUUGUGGCCUAUCUGUUUGGACAAGGAGAGUGCAGCACUUGAAAUUCGGCCACUCUGUCCUCAACUGGAAGUUACAGGGGAGGAGUGGGCUGCCCAUUCUGUACUCUGGCAAAAGCAUUCUUUCAUUAUUUAGGGCCUUCAAUGUUUCAAAGAUGAUGGGAAUUCAAGCUAAUAUGAAAUUCAAGGUUUGAUAUAUGUCUUAUAUCCAAACCAGGGUUUAAGUUUAUAACACCAACAUUAUACAGGGCAUCAGGUCGACCAGAAAUGCAGGCCUUAGACGAUGCUGGAGGGGAUCCAAGAUCCCCGAAGAAGUACAGGUAUUUCUGUCCUGGAUUAUUUGUUUCACUUAAGAGGAGAACAGUGGUUUUGCUGUUAACUAAGGGAUAUGUAUUCUUUCCCUUCAUUAGUUGUCCUUAUACUGGUA
This 1816-nucleotide long non-coding RNA is filed under the name Sus scrofa (pig). RNAcentral's name for it is "lncRNA (ENSSSCG00030057541.1)". Lineage: Eukaryota; Metazoa; Chordata; Mammalia; Artiodactyla; Suidae. The record is from RNAcentral.